UGGCGUCCGGCUGCUCUGCGUUCCGGGCUGCUCCGCGUUCCUGGCUUCCGAAGGGCCGCGUAUCUGAAGGUGCUGCAGGGAGGGCCGGGUUGGAGGUAGACACCGGGUUGGAGGGUUAGAUGGAUCCCCGCGAGGAGCCCGGAUAUGGCGAAGGGAGGAGUGAGGACGUGUUUCCGAGGCCAGGGACCCUCUGGAUAUCACCUCCCCGGCUCCGCCUGUUGGAGACGUCCAAGCCUCUUUUUCUGCCCAGCUAGUGGAAAGGCGAGGGAGUUGGGGAACCGGGUACUAAGCAAAAGGAUUUGAAGUUUGCGCAGCCCGCGUUGCUCAGUGGUUGAUCAUCGAUCUAUGAGCCAGGUUUGAUUCCGGAUAGGAAACAUUUGGGGGUGGCGGGCUCCAUCUCCGGUGGGGGCUGUGCAGGAGGCAGCGGAUCAAUGAUCCUCUCAGCAACGCCUGUGCGUCCUGACCGGGGAUGGAACUAGAAACCUCGGCGUGUGCCCUGCCUGUGAAUCCAGCCGAUGUCCUUCCGGUUCACCGGAGGACGCUCCAACCAACGGAGCCACACCGGCCAGGGCAAGUUAUUCUUCAAGAUCUGCCAAAGCGUAGUCAUUGCAAAAGUCUUCAGAAUAAGCCUCAUACUGCUUACUUGCAGGACGUUCAGUCUACCCUAACAAUGUAGCUAUGUCGUUAAUAACUCUCUCAUCUUCACAGAAUCCACUAUUCAUUGUUAUAACUUGUAACAUGGAAGGAGAAACAUUUUAGCCUGGAACUGAAAGGAGGGGCAAGUGGUAUGGUCGGACUGCAAUUUUUGUACCACAAGCCCAUCAACUAGCUUGUCAGUGUCUGCUUCAGGCUCAGGAACCUUUGGCUGUAUCUUCCAAGGAAUGUAAUUUCUUUCUUUUGUGAUGGUUAAUGGUUUUGGAACAGAAACAAAGAAGUCUGGAUUGAGGAGUCCCUAGAAGUAGAGUUCUCCAAGUAGAACACUUCUCAAAAAUUAAUACAUAGCCCGCUGGCAUCUAAAAUAACUGCAUCUUUAACAGAAUCACUUGUGUUUUUACUAAGUGCCUAAGGUGUUUCUGAUGCAUACAACAUUUGGGAACCUUUUGGACACAUGUAGGGUGACAAAGUGUCCUAGUUUAUCUGGGACUGGGGGUUUCUCAGGAUGCAGGGCUUUAUAAGUGCUAAGCCAGGGCAGUCCUGGGCAAACUGUUGAUCAUCCUAGAUACAUGUGAGUCUAUACUAUUAGAAAGACUAUCUUGGUGCAGUUUCGCAUCCUGGGUUGCCCUAUUUCUGUUUGCAGGAUUUGUUUCUAUUAGGAGUGGUGGUGGUGGUGGUGGUGGUGGUGGUGGUGACCACGGAAAAGGGAUGAAAAUGAGGUGCGUUGCCAAUUCUUACUGAUUCUCAGGUCCAAACCCAUCCUUCACUGACCUGCUCGCAGUACUGGCACGACUCCUUUUCCAUUUGGCCGGGUGUUCAGUUCCAUCGGUAGAGGUGCUGGAGGGACAUACUAGGAGAGGAGGAAAGGGCUCUUCCUGAUUCCAGUAUGCGGUCUCAGCUGGCUUUUCAAUGCAUGACAACUGUCUGUGGGCUGAAUUUCAGUGUUAGAUGAAUUUAUAGCCUUGUUAAGUUUCUCUUGUGAGGCUGAGGUAUUGAUUGGGGAGGAAUGGGAUCCCCAAACUUGAAAUAGGCACUUCUGCGUGGGCCUGGAUGAAAGUGACGAUUUUGAACACCAGGUCAUCCUGUGCCUUGUUUGGCAGUGGAAGUACCUUGCCCUCCUUUAUCUGGGGACACUUGAAAACCCUGUGAAACCCUCACCUGGAGCAGAUGACUUGAAAAAUACAGCAUACGUCUGUGCUUCCUGACAGGUGAGAGUGCUUCUGGCUUUGUGCGUUCCUUUGUAUUCUGCCUUGACCUAGAGGUAGACCAGCCUUGAGGUACUUUUAAGUGGCUGCUCUCUCUAUCCACUAUGUCAGUAUUUUUAGUUUUCCUUUUCCCUUGGAGGUAAUUUCUUAUUAUAGUGAGUAAUUCUUUGUUUUAUUCCUGUUUGAAUUACUAUAUGGUUUCUGUCUAUUUGAGUAUGACCAUGAUAUCAGGGCUAGCAAGGGACUGCCCCAAGGUCUGCCUUAAACUGUAAGUAACUGGUUUGCCUCUGAUUUGGGCCCUUUGUUCUAGUGCCACUCUUGGGUUUCUUUAGCUGAGACCUCCCUCCUGAAGUCCCAGUAGGUUUUGCUGGCCCAGUUGCCUUGCCUCUCCUCUGAAACCAGUAUCAAGGUAUCUUUUGAUUUAUUCCUUGAUUGUUUUUUCUUUUUAUUAUUGAUUUUUUUACAGAGAGGAAGGGAGAGAGAUAGUUAGAAACAUUGAUGAGAGAGAAACAUCUGCAGAGUCACUGGAGGAAUGCGUAUAAAAACGCAAGAUUCCAGGCCCCAUCAAGAUUCUGAGUCAAGAGGUCUGGGGCAGAACCCAGCAUCUGGCAUUUUUAACAGUGCCUGGUUUCAAUUUGUAAGAACAUUAAAGAGUUCUGCCUUUUCCAGGUGAUCCAUUUUCUACUCAACAGUUAUCUCCUCCCCUGGAUGGCAAAACUGAUCAAUAUUUUAUGUGUUGGUAGCUCUUAGAAACGACUCUGGGCGAGUCACACCCUACAGCCUACUUUCAGUUGCCUGUUUUCACAGCAGACUCUUGCCCAGUGUUCCGUCUGAAUCAUGUGCCACUUGUGGAGCGCCUGAUGCUGAAUUCCUGAGAACAUCCAAUCCAAGGAAAAUCAUGGCACAUCAAGCUAAUAGCUGUCAGCCAAGGUGUUGCAGAGGGAAAUUCCCAGCCCAUGUCUCCCGGCCCCAGGCUCAGCGGUUCCCAGCUUGAGGAAGGAGGGUGGGACAGGAACCUGCCAACUCGGCAGCGUGUUUGUGUGCAGGCUUUCAAGACUUGGCCAAUUUUAAACAACUCAGAGAGAGGAUGCUUCCCAGACUCCACUCAGGAACUCCUCCUGCUCCUUGCCCAGCACGACUGCAGAUGCUGCCAGAGAUAAAGUCUCCCAGAAACCACGGUGUAAACCACGUUGAGGCACAAUUAAAGAACAACAUACUUGGAUGUGGAAUUGUAGAUAGCAGACAAAAAUCUGGGACGGGAGAGAUCACUAGCGGUUACAGUCAUCAACAAAGGCUUUAUGGGUAACAGAGAAUUUUGCCAAGGCUCUAAAAUAUUUGACAUUUGAAAGCCCAAAGGUAUUCUGAUAGUUAUAUUACCCUGAAAAAAGAGCGGGCAAAGUUUAUCUACGCAUUCUUAAUUAUAAAAAAUAGCAAAUACAAAUACUACUUAACAUUUAUUGAGUGCCUUGUUUGCCAAAUGCUGUUCUAAUUAUUUACAUGCUGAUCUGAUUUUCAAAAGACUUUAUGAUGUAGAUGUAUAAAUAUUAGUCUCCAUUUACAAAGGGUUAAACUGAACUAUGAUGCUACAUGAUGCCAUCACACCACUGCAAAUACAUGGCAGAGUGAACGCUAAUUAGGAAAGACAGGACUAUUCCUGGAAUGAUAUAUGGAGCCAUCUCCUGGGACCACAUUGCUGGUGGUUUUAUUUUGUGUGUGUGUGUGUGUGUGUGUGUGUUUCAAUGACUUCAAAAGUGAAGGAUUGGUAGCAACAUAAUAUGGUAUGGAAUAUAGGCAUUCUCUGUACUUUCUGCUAGAUUUUCUUGUAAAUCUAAAACAAAAGUUAAAUAUACAGUCUAUU
Pipistrellus kuhlii (Kuhl's pipistrelle) is the source of this 3717-nucleotide long non-coding RNA. RefSeq lists it as uncharacterized. The transcript has 2 exons. The record is from RefSeq and is a predicted model, not a curated record. NCBI's taxonomy places the organism in Eukaryota, Metazoa, Chordata, Mammalia, Chiroptera, Vespertilionidae.